GAGAGGGGUCACCGUGACAGCAAGGACUGCUAAUUCUAGCUCCUUUGGUUAAAAUCCAGAGUCCGCUCGAAUGAG
RNAcentral lists this transfer RNA (75 nucleotides) under Oryzias luzonensis. Its description in RNAcentral is "tRNA-Ser". Lineage: Eukaryota; Metazoa; Chordata; Actinopteri; Beloniformes; Adrianichthyidae. The record is from RNAcentral.